CAGCCUCUUCUCCCCUCCCCCAAACCCCAGCACGGCGUCCGGGUGCAAAGCAGGGACACAAGCCCCGCCCCAUCUCUCCCGACCACGCCCCUGCUCCCCGCCCCCUUCCCUCGCUGGCCCCGGCGGCGCUGGGGGGAGCCGGGGGCUCCUGAGGUUGCUGCCCCUGCCCGGGGCUUGCGAUGAGUCGGUGCCGCGCCGGGGCCUGCUGCUGCCCCGCACUGGCUGGGUAGACUCUUCCCUCGGGCUCCUCGGCGCACCCCCCGCCCAAACCUCAGCCCCCCAGCUUCUCAAGUCAAGCUUCUGCUGCUUUUGAGCCAGUGUGGAGAGCAGAGGGCGGGUCUGAUGUGCUCCCAGCAGCCUUCCCUCGUCCCCUAUUAAGAAUGAAGGAGAAAAUCAUGUGGUGGUCUUUGGGUGAAAAAUAAAUCUAUAAAGCCAGAAAGAUGAUAAGCAAAGACCAGAUUUAAUCUACAAGGAGGCAGCAUUGCGCGUGCUAGUUCCUCAAAUGGAUGAUAUGGCGCGGGGUGUGUGCGCGCGUGUGUAGUUACAGUAUAUGGUGCUUUAAAACAGGAUACAUGACUGAUGCUGGCUGAUGCCUAUGGUUUACAAAUUUACAGACAUUGGAAGAAAAUCAUGGAAAAGUUUAGAAGAUAAAUGUCAUACAUUUUGCACUGAAAUUUCUGUAGUGAAAAUAGACGACCUCGCCCCUCGCGCCCCCCCCCCAGGUAGCUGCUAUUACUUUCUCUACAACUUGUUUCCUCUGGACUUGUAGUAGGAAUCCACUGCAUUUGAGUAAAGCAGAAAGGCUGGAGGUGGAUCAUUGCUCUUGCCCUUGAAAAUGGCUUCUGAAGCAAGCAAGGCAGUUCAUAGCAUCAAAAUUAUUCGCACUUCUGAACAUGCAGCUGGUUCCUUAUUCGGCCUCUCCAUAGUGCUAAAUGUUUCCCCUUUAACAACAUAGUCACCAUCAGAGCGUGGCAUGGUUUGGAUUGUGAGUUGUGGCUUUAACUGCAGACAGCAAGAAAGCCUCUUCAGAUCCUUACUUACAAGCUUCCAUCAUGGAGUGCAUAUUACUCUAUAAACAGAAAUUUGAAGAUGCCAGACACUAGGUGGAAUGUGGUAGAUUCUUCAUGAAAACAUCCAUCCUGGGUCAGACCAAUGGUCCAUGUAGCCAGGUGCUUCAAAGGGAAUGAACAGAACAGGGCAGUUAUUGAGUGAUCCAUCAUUCCCUGUCAGCCAGUCCCAGCUUCUGGCAAUGGGAGAGUAGGGACACUCAGAGCAUGGGGUUGUAUCCCUGGCCAUCUUGGCUAUCACAUUUGUUUCCUUGCAAUCCACUAAUAUUUUCUUAUAAGAAGUAAGCAGCAAGAUCAAGUGUCCUCCUGAGAAGUUCUCCAGUGGUUUAGUGCCUAUAUUAUUUUUAUAUGUUAGUUGUCAAAAUCUGACUUUGUAGAUCUUAAAAUAAGCUUUUUUUAUAUUCAGAAAAGUAUAAUCAAACACUUCGGCAUCUGUCUUACGAGAUAUAAAGAUUUAAAAUGUUACUUACACCUUUUUUGUGACUGCAAGCUGCACUUCAACUAUAAUUGAAGGUAUCUGUGUUAUUUACAAUGUGUUAUUUGGAAUAGGCCUUUUUCUUAAAUAAAAGGGAUACUGAAUAAAGA
This is a long non-coding RNA of Chelonia mydas (Green sea turtle), 1652 nucleotides long. RefSeq lists it as uncharacterized. NCBI's taxonomy places the organism in Eukaryota, Metazoa, Chordata, Testudines, Cheloniidae. The transcript is spliced from 2 exons. The record is from RefSeq and is a predicted model, not a curated record.